This is a long non-coding RNA of Sapajus apella (tufted capuchin), 1700 nucleotides long. RefSeq lists it as uncharacterized. The transcript has 2 exons. NCBI's taxonomy places the organism in Eukaryota, Metazoa, Chordata, Mammalia, Primates, Cebidae. The record is from RefSeq and is a predicted model, not a curated record.
UGCGAAUUGCUUCAAAACCAGCAUGAGCAACAUGAUGAAGCUCCAUUUCUACCAAAAACACAAAAAUUAGUUCAUCAUGGUGGCAAGAAAUUAAAAUGCUAUGCUUAUUAUUAUGGCAUUUAAAUUUUUUAAAGAAGAUUUUAGUUAAAGUUAACAUUUCUCUUAUGAAGAACAUAUAUCAACAUCAAUUGGAAAUAACACUGUUGGUGAAAGAAGUAAUUUCAGAAUCACCCCUUUAAGACAGUGAUUUUUAUAAUAUGGCUGAAGGAAUUUAGAACUUAAACCACUAUCCAUUACUUAAUAUUUAAAAGGCCUUUAUAGUUAAAAAUUAUGUUGCCUUAAUUUUAAAAUAAAAAUCAGCUAUUAUAUUUCAGAUGUUUUUAGGCUUCUUGUAGAAAAAUCCACAUUAAGAGUAGUGAUACAAAUUUCCUCUGUUGUCGCAAUGAAAUUUUUACUUCUUAGGUCCCAUAAAAGUGUAUUUCGGGUUGCUUCAUCAAGUAAGUGUCUGAUGCUUGUGAACAGCCUUUUAUGGAUAUUCUUUAGCAAACAACAUUUCUGAAAGACUUAAAGGUCUUCAGCUAGAAGAGUGUCAUUUAGAGGCAAAGGUUUUGCAGGAUUUAUUCAGCAGGAUUUAUUUUGGAAAUGUAUGUGUGGCUUGCCAAAUCUAAAUUCUCAUUCAUAAGGGCACUUUUAGACAACAUUCAAAAAUAGACCAUAAAAUUAGGCCCCAAAUUAAAAAAUAUUAGGCUUUAACUUAUACAUGUCUUACCACUUUCUCUGGUAUUUCUGAUGUAUUAUAAAUUUUUUGGCAAUGCUACUGGCUUUUAGGAACACUUUCCUAUCACCUGAGUGAGCAAAACAUGUUUGCCACUGAAAUUGCCAAAAUAGAAAAUGCAAUUAAGAUGUUAUCUUAUAUACUAUAUAUUUGUUCACAUCUUAUAUACAUUAAAUGAUGGUUCUUCACUCAAGUCUGACUUCAAAAACAAACAAAAGAAAACGAAAACAGUUUUACUAUUUCUUUUGGUCUGAUUCUCUACCCUAAUGUAUGCUGUAUCAAAUUUUAAAAUGUUUUGGAAAAAGAGUAGCUGAACCUAAAUCAAAUCAUAUGAAAACUCUGUAAAUCAUUUUCUCCUUAAAAUAAGUUUGUGUUGUUUACAUUAUUACAUUAGAAGCUUAUUCAUUUUAUCUUAUGUGGACUUGUAUUUAGAUGGAAACAUCAUGUAAGAGUGUGUGUGUGUGUGUGUCCUUCCACUUUAUUUCUAAGGCAAAAAUACAGUUACAGAAUGAAAAGGGACAUUAGUUGGAGGUCAUCUUUAUUGAUAUACUCUGUGCAGGUUUUUGUUACUUAGACUAAUGAUGUGGUUACCAGAUUCUUUCUUAAGAAGGCUAUUUGGUUGAUUACUAAACCACUUUUAAACUGUUGGAUAAGUUAAGGUAACAUGAUCAGUCUAAUAAAUAAACCUUGAUGGAAGCUGUCAAUAUAUUUUUUAGUUUGAAUAAUAUUGCAGUAUUUUAAAGUACUAUAAUAGUUGCCUAAAGAUAUCUUCUAUGGAAAAUGCUCUUGAGUAUUUUCCUGCCAGCUGGUUUACAUUAGCAGACUUAAUAUCCAGACUAUUCCACUCUUCACUGUCCAUACAAAAUUAGUUCUGAAGCAUUUACUUGGGGAUGAUGGUCCAGACAAAUUAGUAUUCUAUUAUUUU